This 305-nucleotide ribosomal RNA is filed under the name uncultured bacterium. RNAcentral describes it as "partial 16S ribosomal RNA". It matches the Rfam family "Bacterial small subunit ribosomal RNA", at positions 506 to 807 of the family's 1533-position model. The record is from RNAcentral.
ACAGCAGUAGCCGCGGUAAUACGUAGGGUGCAAGCGUUAAUCGGAAUUACUGGGCGUAAAGCGUGCGCAGGCGGUUAUAUAAGACAGAUGUGAAAUCCCCGGGCUCAACCUGGGAACUGCAUUUGUGACUGUAUAGCUAGAGUACGGCAGAGGGGGAUGGAAUUCCGCGUGUAGCAGUGAAAUGCGUAGAUAUGCGGAGGAACACCGAUGGCGAAGGCAAUCCCCUGGGCCUGUACUGACGCUCAUGCACGAAAGCGUGGGGAGCAAACAGGAUUAGAGACCCCAGUAGUCCCUGUCUCUUAUAC